CACCUCUCAGUGUCGCACCUGGAGAGUUUCCAGUACUCUACCGGUCUCGACUACGGGAGGGAAAGUCAAAGCAGAGGCAUACCGAUUCCAUUCCUAGCUUGGGCAGUGACCAGCGAGUAGAAGGUAGUCUGCUACAAGU
Tachyglossus aculeatus (Australian echidna) is the source of this 139-nucleotide small nucleolar RNA. The record is from RefSeq and is a predicted model, not a curated record. NCBI's taxonomy places the organism in Eukaryota, Metazoa, Chordata, Mammalia, Monotremata, Tachyglossidae.